RNAcentral lists this ribosomal RNA (252 nucleotides) under uncultured bacterium. RNAcentral's name for it is "partial 16S ribosomal RNA". It matches the Rfam family "Bacterial small subunit ribosomal RNA", at positions 525 to 776 of the family's 1533-position model. The record is from RNAcentral.
ACGGAGGGUGCAAGCGUUAUCCGGAUUCACUGGGUUUAAAGGGAGCGCAGGCGGACUGGUAAGUCAGUGGUGAAAGCCCUGGGCUCAACCCGGGAACUGCCAUUGAUACUAUCAGUCUUGAAUAUCGUUGAGGUUUGCGGAAUGGGUCAUGUAGCGGUGAAAUGCAUAGAUAUGACCCGGAACACCUAUUGCGAAGGCAGCAGGCUAAGCGAAGAUUGACGCUGAGGCUCGAAAGCGUGGGGAUCAAACAGG